GUGGGGAAUUUUGGGCAAUGGGCGCAAGCCUGAUCCAGCAAUGCCGCGUGCAGGAAGAAGGCCUUCGGGUUGUAAACUGCUUUUGUACGGAACGAAACGGUCCGGGUUAAUACCCUGGGCUAAUGACGGUACCGUAAGAAUAAGCACCGGCUAACUACGUGCCAGCAGCCGCGGUAAUACGUAGGGUGCAAGCGUUAAUCGGAAUUACUAGGCGUAAAGCGUGCGCAGGCGGUUUUGUGAGACAGUGGUGAAAUCCCCGGGCUCAACCUGGGAACUGCCAUGGUGACUGCAAGGCUAGAGUGCGGCAGAGGGGGAUGGAAUUCCGCGUGUAGCAGUGAAAUGCGUAGAUAUGCGGAGGAACACCGAUGGCGAAGGCAAUCCCCUGGGCCUGCACUGACGCUCAUGCACGAAAGCGUGGGGAGCAAACAGGAUUAGAAACCCGGGUAGUCC
RNAcentral lists this ribosomal RNA (450 nucleotides) under uncultured bacterium. Its description in RNAcentral is "partial 16S ribosomal RNA". It matches the Rfam family "Bacterial small subunit ribosomal RNA", at positions 354 to 796 of the family's 1533-position model. The record is from RNAcentral.